RNAcentral lists this long non-coding RNA (533 nucleotides) under Salmo salar (Atlantic salmon). RNAcentral describes it as "lncRNA (ENSSSAG00000113174.1)". The record is from RNAcentral. Lineage: Eukaryota; Metazoa; Chordata; Actinopteri; Salmoniformes; Salmonidae.
ACCACAUCCCUCUGCCAUCGUUCUUGCUGCUUUCAAAGAGUCUGUUAUAAAAUAAGGAAUAAGGUGCCAUUUGGGACGCAUUCCAAGGUGUCUCCUCCGUCCUCUAACAUGUAGAAACAAGGUGUUGAGGAAAAUGUUCAGAUGGUCCUCUGAAGGAGAUGUGCUGUUUCCUCUGAGCAGGUUGGAGGAAGGAGGUAGCAUGGAGGAACUAGCCUGAUCGCUGCCCUCGCCCUUCUGUUUAACUGCACUUAUCCGUCUAGUCUUUAUCCAAUAGGUGUUUGGAAUACACCAUUUUAAAUGGUUGGUUGAAGAUGAUGCAAUCGCUGAUAAGUACGUUUUGAAUACUGCCUCUCGUUACAGACGUAGGCUCAAACUGAGGAAGGAAUACGAGACUGGUGCUUGAAGUGAAAUAGAAUGGUGAAUGCAGCGAUCAGGCUGGUUCCUCCAGGUUGGUGAAUGCAGCGAUCAGGCUGGUUCCUCCAGGUUGGUGAAUGCAGCGAUCAGGCUGGUUCCUCCAGGUUGGUGAAUGCAGC